GACGAACGCUGGCGGCGUGCUUAACACAUGCAAGUCGAACGGAAAGGCCCCCUUGUGGGGUACUCGAGUGGCGAACGGGUGAGUAACACGUGAGUAACCUACCCUUGACUUUGGGAUAACUUCAGGAAACUGGGGCUAAUACCGGAUAGGAGCACCUGCUGCAUGGUGGGGGUUGGAAAGUUUCGGCGGUUGGGGAUGGACUCGCGGCUUAUCAGCUUGUUGGUGGGGUAGUGGCUCACCAAGGCUUUGACGGGUAGCCGGCCUGAGAGGGUGACCGGCCACAUUGGGACUGAGAUACGGCCCAGACUCCUACGGGAGGCAGCAGUGGGGAAUAUUGCACAAUGGGCGGAAGCCUGAUGCAGCAACGCCGCGUGCGGGAUGACGGCCUUCGGGUUGUAAACCGCUUUCGCCUGUGGCGAAGCGUGAGUGACGGUAAUGGGUAAAGAAGCACCGGCUAACUACGUG
This 465-nucleotide ribosomal RNA is filed under the name uncultured bacterium. RNAcentral's name for it is "partial 16S ribosomal RNA". It matches the Rfam family "Bacterial small subunit ribosomal RNA", at positions 28 to 507 of the family's 1533-position model. The record is from RNAcentral.